RNAcentral lists this ribosomal RNA (497 nucleotides) under uncultured bacterium. RNAcentral describes it as "partial 16S ribosomal RNA". It matches the Rfam family "Bacterial small subunit ribosomal RNA", at positions 28 to 507 of the family's 1533-position model. The record is from RNAcentral.
GAUGAACGCUGGCGGCGUGCCUAAUACAUGCAAGUCGAGCGAACGGACGAGAAGCUUGCUUCUCUGAUGUUAGCGGCGGACGGGUGAGUAACACGUGGAUAACCUACCUAUAAGACUGGGAUAACUUCGGGAAACCGGAGCUAAUACCGGAUGAUAUUUUGAACCGCAUGGUUCAAAAGUGAAAGACGGUCUUGCUGUCACUUAUAGAUGGAUCCGCGCUGCAUUAGCUAGUUGGUAAGGUAACGGCUUACCAAGGCAACGAUGCAUAGCCGACCUGAGAGGGUGAUCGGCCACACUGGAACUGAGACACGGUCCAGACUCCUACGGGAGGCAGCAGUAGGGAAUCUUCCGCAAUGGGCGAAAGCCUGACGGAGCGACGCCGAGUGAGUGAUGAAGGUCUUCGGAUCGUAAAACUCUGUUAUUAGGGAAGAACAUAUGUGUAAGUAACUGUGCACAUCUUGACGGUACCUAAUCAGAAAGCCACGGCUAACUACGUG